CCUAGUAAAAAACACUUGCGUGCUAUUGAUGUCAACAUGAACAAAAUGCCAGAUGUUGCUAUGACGCUGGCCGUGGUUGCACUUUUUGCUGAUGGCCCUACUGCCAUAAGAGACGUGGCCAGUUGGAGAGUGAAAGAAACAGAACGGAUGAUCGCAAUUUGUACAGAGCUCAGGAAGUUAGGAGCAAAUGUUGAAGAGGGGCAAGAUUACUGUGUUAUUACUCCACCUGAGAAACUAAAAGUCGCAGAGAUCGACACUUAUGAUGAUCACAGAAUGGCCAUGGCAUUCUC
Molecule: unclassified non-coding RNA, 290 nt
Filed under: Hevea brasiliensis (rubber tree)
Lineage: Eukaryota; Viridiplantae; Streptophyta; Magnoliopsida; Malpighiales; Euphorbiaceae
Source: RNAcentral